UCCACAUCCAACUUUUAAGAUGAUCCCUAACAGGAUUAAAGUCCUCCACAAGCAGGCAGAGGCAAGCUAUUCAGAAAAACAAGGUCAUGCUGCUUUUUUUUUUUUUUUUUUUUUGGUAAGCACAGGAAUCAACAAAGAGAUGUUAUAUAACUUCUAUUUAUAUCCCACUUGCUCACUAGCUGCAGGCACACACGAGUAGCUGAGGAGGGAAUUUAAUGAGCUCUCAGGGCUUGCUCACCUUCCAGAGCUGGUAGGAGCCAGCUUGUUUUUGAAGUGCGUCAGCAAAUGAAACUGGUGGUGGGUGGGUGGUUUGGGUAGGUGGACUGACUUGUUGCUAUGGUUUUCUUUAAUUCCUCUGUCUCUCAA
This 366-nucleotide small RNA is filed under the name Numida meleagris (helmeted guineafowl). RNAcentral describes it as "sRNA (ENSNMEG00000007502.1)". The record is from RNAcentral. Lineage: Eukaryota; Metazoa; Chordata; Aves; Galliformes; Numididae.